Molecule: ribosomal RNA, 464 nt
Filed under: uncultured bacterium
Lineage: Bacteria
Description: partial 16S ribosomal RNA
Rfam family: Bacterial small subunit ribosomal RNA
Source: RNAcentral
GACGAACGCUGGCGGCGUGCUUAACACAUGCAAGUCGAACGGUAAGGCCCCAGCUUGCUGGGGUACACGAGUGGCGAACGGGUGAGUAACACGUGGGUGACCUGCCCCGCACUUCGGGAUAAGCCUGGGAAACUGGGUCUAAUACCGGAUAGGACCGCACCGUGAGGGUGUGGUGGAAAGUUUUUCGGUGUGGGAUGGGCCCGCGGCCUAUCAGCUUGUUGGUGGGGUAAUGGCCUACCAAGGCGGCGACGGGUAGCCGGCCUGAGAGGGUGGACGGCCACAUUGGGACUGAGACACGGCCCAGACUCCUACGGGAGGCAGCAGUGGGGAAUAUUGCACAAUGGACGGAAGCCUGAUGCAGCGACGCCGCGUGGGGGAUGACGGCCUUCGGGUUGUAAACUCCUUUCACCAUCGACGAAGGUUUUCUGACGGUAGAUGGAGAAGAAGCACCGGCUAACUACGUG